This 253-nucleotide ribosomal RNA is filed under the name uncultured bacterium. RNAcentral describes it as "partial 16S ribosomal RNA". It matches the Rfam family "Bacterial small subunit ribosomal RNA", at positions 524 to 776 of the family's 1533-position model. The record is from RNAcentral.
UACGUAGGUGACAAGCGUUGUCCGGAUUUACUGGGCGUAAAGAGCGCGCAGGCGGUCGAUCAAGUCGAGUGUGAAAGCCCCCGGCUCAACUGGGGAGGGUCAUUCGAUACUGAUCGACUCGAAGGCAGGAGAGGGUAGUGGAAUUCCCGGUGUAGCGGUGAAAUGCGUAGAGAUCGGGAGGAACACCAGAGGCGAAGGCGGCGACCUGGACAGGCACUGACACUCAACUACGAAAGCGUGGGGAGCAAACAGG